This 2931-nucleotide ribosomal RNA is filed under the name Escherichia coli. Its description in RNAcentral is "23S ribosomal RNA". It matches the Rfam family "Bacterial large subunit ribosomal RNA". Lineage: Bacteria; Pseudomonadati; Pseudomonadota; Gammaproteobacteria; Enterobacterales; Enterobacteriaceae. The record is from RNAcentral.
GGGUUGUGAGGUUAAGCGACUAAGCGUACACGGUGGAUGCCCUGGCAGUCAGAGGCGAUGAAGGACGUGCUAAUCUGCGAUAAGCGUCGGUAAGGUGAUAUGAACCGUUAUAACCGGCGAUUUCCGAAUGGGGAAACCCAGUGUGAUUCGUCACACUAUCAUUAACUGAAUCCAUAGGUUAAUGAGGCGAACCGGGGGAACUGAAACAUCUAAGUACCCCGAGGAAAAGAAAUCAACCGAGAUUCCCCCAGUAGCGGCGAGCGAACGGGGAGCAGCCCAGAGCCUGAAUCAGUGUGUGUGUUAGUGGAAGCGUCUGGAAAGGCGCGCGAUACAGGGUGACAGUCCCGUACACAAAAAUGCACAUACUGUGAGCUCGAUGAGUAGGGCGGGACACGUGGUAUCCUGUCUGAAUAUGGGGGGACCAUCCUCCAAGGCUAAAUACUCCUGACUGACCGAUAGUGAACCAGUACCGUGAGGGAAAGGCGAAAAGAACCCCGGCGAGGGGAGUGAAAAAGAACCUGAAACCGUGUACGUACAAGCAGUGGGAGCACAGAGCAAUCUGUGUGACUGCGUACCUUUUGUAUAAUGGGUCAGCGACUUAUAUUCUGUAGCAAGGUUAACCGAAUAGGGGAGCCGAAGGGAAACCGAGUCUUAACUGGGCGUUAAGUUGCAGGGUAUAGACCCGAAACCCGGUGAUCUAGCCAUGGGCAGGUUGAAGGUUGGGUAACACUAACUGGAGGACCGAACCGACUAAUGUUGAAAAAUUAGCGGAUGACUUGUGGCUGGGGGUGAAAGGCCAAUCAAACCGGGAGAUAGCUGGUUCUCCCCGAAAGCUAUUUAGGUAGCGCCUCGUGAAUUCAUCUCCGGGGGUAGAGCACUGUUUCGGCAAGGGGGUCAUCCCGACUUACCAACCCGAUGCAAACUGCGAAUACCGGAGAAUGUUAUCACGGGAGACACACGGCGGGUGCUAACGUCCGUCGUGAAGAGGGAAACAACCCAGACCGCCAGCUAAGGUCCCAAAGUCAUGGUUAAGUGGGAAACGAUGUGGGAAGGCCCAGACAGCCAGGAUGUUGGCUUAGAAGCAGCCAUCAUUUAAAGAAAGCGUAAUAGCUCACUGGUCGAGUCGGCCUGCGCGGAAGAUGUAACGGGGCUAAACCAUGCACCGAAGCUGCGGCAGCGACACUGUGUGUUGUUGGGUAGGGGAGCGUUCUGUAAGCCUGUGAAGGUGUACUGUGAGGUAUGCUGGAGGUAUCAGAAGUGCGAAUGCUGACAUAAGUAACGAUAAAGCGGGUGAAAAGCCCGCUCGCCGGAAGACCAAGGGUUCCUGUCCAACGUUAAUCGGGGCAGGGUGAGUCGACCCCUAAGGCGAGGCCGAAAGGCGUAGUCGAUGGGAAACAGGUUAAUAUUCCUGUACUUGGUGUUACUGCGAAGGGGGGACGGAGAAGGCUAUGUUGGCCGGGCGACGGUUGUCCCGGUUUAAGCGUGUAGGCUGGUUUUCCAGGCAAAUCCGGAAAAUCAAGGCUGAGGCGUGAUGACGAGGCACUACGGUGCUGAAGCAACAAAUGCCCUGCUUCCAGGAAAAGCCUCUAAGCAUCAGGUAACAUCAAAUCGUACCCCAAACCGACACAGGUGGUCAGGUAGAGAAUACCAAGGCGCUUGAGAGAACUCGGGUGAAGGAACUAGGCAAAAUGGUGCCGUAACUUCGGGAGAAGGCACGCUGAUAUGUAGGUGAAGUCCCUCGCGGAUGGAGCUGAAAUCAGUCGAAGAUACCAGCUGGCUGCAACUGUUUAUUAAAAACACAGCACUGUGCAAACACGAAAGUGGACGUAUACGGUGUGACGCCUGCCCGGUGCCGGAAGGUUAAUUGAUGGGGUCAGCGCAAGCGAAGCUCUUGAUCGAAGCCCCGGUAAACGGCGGCCGUAACUAUAACGGUCCUAAGGUAGCGAAAUUCCUUGUCGGGUAAGUUCCGACCUGCACGAAUGGCGUAAUGAUGGCCAGGCUGUCUCCACCCGAGACUCAGUGAAAUUGAACUCGCUGUGAAGAUGCAGUGUACCCGCGGCAAGACGGAAAGACCCCGUGAACCUUUACUAUAGCUUGACACUGAACAUUGAGCCUUGAUGUGUAGGAUAGGUGGGAGGCUUAGAAGUGUGGACGCCAGUCUGCAUGGAGCCGACCUUGAAAUACCACCCUUUAAUGUUUGAUGUUCUAACGUUGACCCGUGAUCCGGGUUGCGGACAGUGUCUGGUGGGUAGUUUGACUGGGGCGGUCUCCUCCUAAAGAGUAACGGAGGAGCACGAAGGUUGGCUAAUCCUGGUCGGACAUCAGGAGGUUAGUGCAAUGGCAUAAGCCAGCUUGACUGCGAGCGUGACGGCGCGAGCAGGUGCGAAAGCAGGUCAUAGUGAUCCGGUGGUUCUGAAUGGAAGGGCCAUCGCUCAACGGAUAAAAGGUACUCCGGGGAUAACAGGCUGAUACCGCCCAAGAGUUCAUAUCGACGGCGGUGUUUGGCACCUCGAUGUCGGCUCAUCACAUCCUGGGGCUGAAGUAGGUCCCAAGGGUAUGGCUGUUCGCCAUUUAAAGUGGUACGCGAGCUGGGUUUAGAACGUCGUGAGACAGUUCGGUCCCUAUCUGCCGUGGGCGCUGGAGAACUGAGGGGGGCUGCUCCUAGUACGAGAGGACCGGAGUGGACGCAUCACUGGUGUUCGGGUUGUCAUGCCAAUGGCACUGCCCGGUAGCUAAAUGCGGAAGAGAUAAGUGCUGAAAGCAUCUAAGCACGAAACUUGCCCCGAGAUGAGUUCUCCCUGACCCUUUAAGGGUCCUGAAGGAACGUUGAAGACGACGACGUUGAUAGGCCGGGUGUGUAAGCGCAGCGAUGCGUUGAGCUAACCGGUACUAAUGAACCGUGAGGCUUAACCUUACAACGCCGAAGCUGUU